UGUAAUCAAAGUAGUUGAAUUAUGAUAUUGCUGUAGGUCAUAUUAUACCCCUUAAUAUAGAGUGUGUGAUCAGUAUGUAGUUUUAGUUUGCAUUAUACUUCUGACUUAAAAGAGUGUGAAAAUCAUUAGAUCUAUUUGAUUGACCUGUAUUACUCGACACUGUUGAAUGUGUUACACUGUUUCUUGACAUUUCAUACUGCUGAAUCAUGAAGAGAAUGUUGUGUGCAGGAGACCUUGUGUCUAGAAUAGAAGAAGAGAAGACCACAUUCCAUACCCCCACCUUUACAGAGAGCAGAAAGACAAGGAGUCGAGGUCAUAACUUAGGCGCCGUAAGAGAGAAAACAUGUGAAUGUUUAGGCUUUUACGACUAGGUGGGGGCUACUAGGGGCUAUAAAAGGCUGAGUAACCCGUCACCAUUUUGAGACUUGCUGUGACCCUCUGCAGCCCAAAGAUUAAAAGAACUGGGAGAUUUUAACAACUUGGUGCCUGGUGACCCGGAUCUUUGGCGUGCUGAGGAGGUGCAGAUUUGGCCUGUGGUGAGAUCUUGGGGCGAGGCGAACAGAGGGCCGGCCUAAACAGAAAGGUAAGCACAGCCUGUUGUAUUAUAAAUACCAAAUGUGCAUAUUGGGCUUUCCAAAUUAAUCUGUUCGCUGAGUUACACGUAUUUUCACAGUAAAUUUGUCGGUGUCUGGUUUUUGGCGCAAGAUACUAACAACAUAAGUUGAGGCCGAAUUCCAGUGUGUUAGAUAAACUGCUUCUACCAAGAAACUAAUAAUACACUACGUUGAGCUAGUUGCAGUUUAAUUGUUUCUACCAAGAAACUAAUAACAUACUACGUUGAGCUAGUUGCAGCCCACUUUACCUUCCACAUUUAACUUUGUCUAAGACUGGCUUCUGUAGCAAUAAUACAUUAGAAUCUUUGGAGACGCGGCUAUAUGUCCAGUACAUUGAAUAGAGGUUUUGAAGUUGGUUUAUGGUGUCGGAUAUAAGCCCUCGUUGAUGCGGUCAUAAAAUUGGUAUAAGAUUAAGGUUAAGCAGAUACUGGCUUACGGUGUCGGUUAAGCGCUAGCAACGCGUAAUGCGAAACACGUCCGUAGGUUUUGGUUUAUGAUAUGGCCGUGUUCUGGUGAUGCGGCCGUAAGUACAGUAGUGAGGGGUUGCUGGUUUCAGCACAUUGAAAAGAGGUUAGACGGUGGUUUAUGGUGUCGGUUAAGCCUCGAGGGUUGCGGCCAUAAAAUUAUAAGUAAAAUAUUUACUUCACCCCGAUUAAAGGUAAAGCAGACCCUGGUUUAUGGUGUCGGUUUUGAGCCUCGGGGACGAGCAUCACUUCUGUUUUAUGAUGCGAUUUUGCCCCGUGGUGCCGGUCAUAAGCGCAGUGAAAGGGGUACCUGGUGUAUGGUGCGGUUGUGCUUCGGAAGAGUUCUAACAGUUGAGCUUAAGAGGUUUCUGUGUAAAUUUCCGCUGGUGAAAAGCGCUCUCUGUGGGUCUCACUGCUGGUGAGGCGCGCUCUGGGUGCUGCUGUGUGUGUGAGGCGCGCUCUGGGUGCAGCUCUGUGUGUCAGGCGCGCUCUGGGUGUGUUUCUGUGUGUGCAGCGUGAACACAGUAACAGUGACGGUUGAUGUGUGAUUAGGAGGACAUUAGUGCGAAGAAGAUGCUUUAAGAUCUAAGGUUGACGCCUAGUGUACCUGUGGAAAUUAAUUUUGCCCUGGGGUUGGCUCCCCCACCGUACGUUGGACGCGGCGUACGGACCAGCGUCGUCUGGAGGUCCAGGUUUAUCACCUGAGAGCUGAGGGCCCUCAAACGAUAACAGAAUAACACUGGAACGGCCGUGUAAUCACGGGUUCACAUUUAUUCUGGAAUAGAACAAGAAAAUGCUUUGUCAUCUAAGGUUGAGUUCUAUAGUAGUCAAAAGAAAACCGAGGUUAGAGUCCUCAUUUCUUAAAAUAGAGGUUAGAGUCCUCGUUUCAGUGACGUUUCAGUGGUUAAAAUUGUUGUGUGCCUGUCCCCUGAUAACGUGAAAUUAAGAACAAAGAGGGAAUUUGGAGCCACAUAGAGAUAGACGGGCAGAAUUGGGUGUAUUACUCUGUGGUGUAAUAAAAAUAAAAAUUAAAAAAAGGAGAGAGAGGAAGGUGUUGGGAGACUGACGUGCAGUUUGCGCUGUCAAGGUGGGCGUGUUGCCUGCUUAUAUGUUUAACAGUGAUGAAAAUGAUAUUAAAUAAAUCUCUUAGUGUGUUAAUACAGGAAGCUACGGACCUGGACCAACUGCCCCCACAAGCACAGCGGCCGAAGCAAAAUUAUAAGUAAUGGGAACCACACCCAGCAAGAAUCAGCAGCUGUGAAACAGACAGCAGCGAGGAGAGAAUUAGAGGAGAAAUUAAGAGAAGUUUUAACACAAAAUUGGGGCCAACGGACUUGUGGAGGUUGGGAAGGCGUCCGGAGCAUCACAACAAAAGGUGAAACAAAAACACACACAAGCAGAGAAAUGUGAGAGAAAGGCUCCUUUUAAGGUAACGCCUUGUUUGAGAAAAAGUUAAAAUUAACCUGCCUAAAAAUGCACACACAUGCAAUGAAAAAACAGCUUACACUCAUGAACAUGUGAAGAUUUUCCAGCAAGGUUAAAGCAGCAAAAAUUAACAUACUUUUGUUGUUAAAUGAUGAAGUUUAUGCAUUACUAACAAAUAAACCCUCUGGGUUGCAGGACAACAAUUUAACUUCAAAGAAAAAGAAAAUAAA
Oreochromis aureus is the source of this 2733-nucleotide long non-coding RNA. The record is from Ensembl. Lineage: Eukaryota; Metazoa; Chordata; Actinopteri; Cichliformes; Cichlidae.